RNAcentral lists this ribosomal RNA (253 nucleotides) under uncultured bacterium. RNAcentral describes it as "partial 16S ribosomal RNA". It matches the Rfam family "Bacterial small subunit ribosomal RNA", at positions 524 to 776 of the family's 1533-position model. The record is from RNAcentral.
UACAGUGGUUGCAAGCGUUGUUCGGAAUUACUGGGCGUAAAGGGCGCGUAGGCGGCCUUCUAAGUCAGACGUGAAAUCCCCCGGCUUAACCUGGGAACUGCGUCUGAUACUGGAGGGCUCGAGUGCGGGAGAGGGAUGUAGAAUUCCAGGUGUAGCGGUGAAAUGCGUAGAUAUCUGGAGGAACACCGGUGGCGAAGGCGGCAUCCUGGACCGACACUGACGCUGAGGCGCGAAAGCUAGGGUAGCAAACGGG